RNAcentral lists this ribosomal RNA (250 nucleotides) under Bacillus licheniformis. Its description in RNAcentral is "partial 16S ribosomal RNA". It matches the Rfam family "Bacterial small subunit ribosomal RNA", at positions 554 to 803 of the family's 1533-position model. The record is from RNAcentral. Lineage: Bacteria; Bacillati; Bacillota; Bacilli; Caryophanales; Bacillaceae.
UUGGGCGUAAAGCGCUCGCAGGCGGUUUCUUAAGUCUGAUGUGAAAGCCCCCGGCUCAACCGGGGAGGGUCAUUGGAAACUGGGGAACUUGAGUGCAGAAGAGGAGAGUGGAAUUCCACGUGUAGCGGUGAAAUGCGUAGAGAUGUGGAGGAACACCAGUGGCGAAGGCGACUCUCUGGUCUGUAACUGACGCUGAGGCGCGAAAGCGUGGGGAGCGAACAUUAUUAGAUACCCUGGUAGUCCACGCCGU